AUUAAUAAAUGUUUCUUUAACAAAUCAAGGAAACUGGCUUGGCUGUUUCCAAAAAAACAAGUCGUGAAGAAUUUUCGAAUGUUAUCUUUGUCAGCAAGCAGCAUCGGCUGACAAAUAUUCAACCGCUGCGAUGAAUGCAGCUGCCUUGGCACCUACGGCGUGUUAUGGCGUCUUGCUGCAACUUGUCAAUCCUUUUCACGGGAACUUCAUUCUACUGAAGGUCCCAGAUUCUACGGAAACGAACUGAACACGUGGUGGUCUGGACCUACUGGAUGCAGGUGACAUGUAACAUCGGUCUACUUACCAUCAACUUGAGUAUAACUAAUCCAGUUUUGAAUGUAAAAAAUACUCAUCUUUAACUUCUUAGUUCUGCUUAUCCUGCAAAGGCUACCUACUGAAGU
Long non-coding RNA from Ostrinia furnacalis (Asian corn borer), 401 nucleotides. RefSeq lists it as uncharacterized. Lineage: Eukaryota; Metazoa; Arthropoda; Insecta; Lepidoptera; Crambidae. The record is from RefSeq and is a predicted model, not a curated record. The transcript has 3 exons.